RNA transcript from Myxocyprinus asiaticus (Chinese sucker), 2781 nucleotides. RefSeq lists it as uncharacterized. Lineage: Eukaryota; Metazoa; Chordata; Actinopteri; Cypriniformes; Catostomidae. The record is from RefSeq and is a predicted model, not a curated record. The transcript is spliced from 10 exons.
UCCGCCCGUCUGUGUUUUCAGGGCUCAUGACAGGAAUAUGUGUGUAAAAUAAAAAAAAUAGCAAAUCAAAGCGGAAUGGAGAGAGAAGUGUGAAAUUGUCUGUAGCGAGGAGCGUGUUCUUUUAAAGCUGGUGGGUUUUGGUUGGAGUAAUUUCUUUCACACCAAGACCGCAGAUGCACGGGACCUAUAAACACUGAAGUGGAGCUUAAGAGGAGUGAUUUUAAAAUGCUUUGAAUGUAAAGACGCUAAAAUCAUGUCGAUUCCCUCACAUACUUUAUUCAGAUAAUCUUUCAGUUUGUGCGCUUCUUGGCAGCAAGUCUAAUUCUUUGGGUUUAGUUGGAAUACUUUCGUUGGCGGAUUAACCAAUUUUUUCUCCACAACUGAAUGACACCCCGUGCUGCAUCUUCUGUGUUCAACGAUGGAGUCUGGAUGCGAAAACCUGAGAAGAUUGAUCAAGAAACUCUCGUCCUUCUUGAUGACGUCACACUAACCUCUCUAAUCUCAGUUAUUGGACUUCGUCUAAAAUUCCAGAAGUACCUCAGGAAGGUGCUUGAUAAUGUAAGAGACAUCCUUCUGACGACACCUGAUGGCAGAGAUAUUUUGGAUAAUAUUGAAGAGAAGUACUGCAUUUCUGAUACGGAUAUUGGUGUCAAAUCUGAUGGAGCGCUUUGGAGAAAAUCCAACUGCAGAUACCAAAGUUGAAUUGGCUUCAUCAAUAGUUGAACAGCUUCCAUGUCUUAAGGACUGCCAGGGUAAAGGCUAUGAAGCAUGGUUCAAUCCAGGUCGAAGUCACAGACUUGCCACAGGCUUCCUUGAGGAGCAUCUUCGGAAUGUACGGCAAAGGCUCCACAGAGGAAGACAGACUCCUGGUUUCUCAGAUUAAUUUAGAGAAAGCACCAGAUUGGUUUUGCCAGAGUUAUGACAACUUUGGACAUAGAGCAGUUCAAAUGACUGAGUGGCUUAAAAAUAAUAUCUUGCCGCCAGCUCAGGCUGAGCAAUACAUGAAAGAGACUGCCAUCCACAGGGCCAAAUGGAUUCGAGAUAAUGGCACCAAGGGUUUAACAGAAAUAGUCAGUGAGUAUCCAUGUCUCCUCGACACUCCGGGCAUGGUAGGUUUAAAUUUGAAACAAACAUUGGCUCAAUAUUUUUUUACUUCUUAUACAACUUUAUUUGCCAUUUUUGUCUUUUGUCUGUACUUUAGAUAUCCCAGGACUUCUCUGUUUUGAAUUCAGACUGUGCUUCAAAACUCACAGAAAACUGGGUUCCUGUAUUUAAGGAUAAGAUCCUGCGGUUUGCCAGAAGAGAGAAGCAGGCUCUUCAUUUGCUUUCUGAUGUAGACACUAUGUCAGCAGCUGAGAACAAACGAAGAGCUAAUAAAAUGUGUAAAGGAGUCAAAACAGUACCAGGAAUUCCUCCAUUGCACACACAAAUGAAGAUAUGCUGCAAAGACGGCUGAUGGCUGUUCCGACGCCUGUACCGAACUGUAAUGGGCAACAUAGCUCCUAUGAUGAGAAGAACCAGGUAUGCUUGAGACAUACAGAGUGACAUCGCUUUACUGGUCUUUCCUAUGGUGCUUCCAACAUCUGUCCACAAGAUUGGAAGGAAAAUGUUUAGACCAAGAUUCAUAGAAACCAGGAAGGCCUUCAUAGACAUACAGCCUUGAGCACGGGGAGAGCGGCAUAAAUAGAGCCACACAGCAGUUAGAGGGGAGAGAGAGCCUGGGCACGGACUAUGAAGCCAGAAGUUUUGAUGAUUGUAAAUUUGAAAGUUUAUUUUGUAAGCUAGUUUGUGGAUGUUUUUAGACUGUGUUUGCCAACAACGUAAAGCCCUGAGAGUGUGUUGUGCUGCACUGAGGAAAAUAAAAAAACGCUUACCUGAACCAGGAAAUCUGCUUCUCGCCUCCUCCUUCCACUGAGAAGUGUUACAAAGCCCUAAUCAAAUAUGGGGAAAUACCAAUAACUUCAAACAUUGGUUCUUGUCUCUCCUGAGACCAAAUGUCAUGACAUAAGAACCAGUGAGGAUUUUAUUGAUGUAGCCACCAUGUUGGAUUUCAGCAUCGUAUACUGGCUGUGCAGCAUAAAAAGUAACUAUUGGUACUAAUAUGGCUGAAUACCUGCGAUGUGCGAAAAACACCACCGAAUUUUCAUAUGUCCUGAUGCUUGGAGACAACAACCAGUGCUUUCAAGCCUUUGUUGUUAUAAACGGAGAAGCGCUUGAGCAAAACACAUUGCUGGCAGCAGUAGAUGUUUGCUGUAAGGCAUUCUACACCUUAGAUGUCAAUUUCCCCAAACCGUGUUCCCCAGUGUGGGAAUUUUUACAGAUUGUGGUGUAUGGACUUCCUGGAAAUGAAUCCCCAGCUAUAAGGAUUCUGCGAGCAUACAUUUCUCAUACAUCUGUCUAAACCUCUUAUACUGCUGUAGAUGUUCGCAUUUAAUGCAUUCUACACAUCCGGUAUUAAUUUUUCAAAACAGUGUUUUCAUCUUAAGCAUUUAAUAUUUAUUUUUUUGUAUGUUGAUUGAGUUUUGUCAGUGCAGAGCCAGGGUCAAGGGCAAAAAACUGUUAUGAAUUGCUUUUUAAGAAUUCAUAUUUUUCCUGUGUUUUUUGCUCAGCUUGUAGUGUGUUAUAUUAGAAAGAUUGGUUGAAUGCAAAAAGUUCAUUUUUUAUCCUUUGUAAUUGCACUUAAUUUGCACAAACUCAUGCACACACAUUGAAAACUGUUUUUAGUUGUGCAUAAUUGUAUACAUUUCGGGGUGUUCUCAUCAAUAAAUGUUUACCAUUUUA